CAGUCUAUUUUAAAUUUGAUAAAAGGAUGUUUUAAAGUCCUAAGUUAUUAAAUAUAGAAGGAAUAAGGGCAAAAGAGGUAAUAUCAGAAUGUAUAUUUCAUCUUAAUUAAGUUGGCAAACCACCAACUAUCUGUUUUUGUAAAUAUGGUAUGUGGUCUAGAAGAGGAAUUUUUGGUCCAUAACAUAGCUCUCUAAUAGACUUUUAAACUGCACCCUAAAAUAAGUAUUGAAUGUAAAGCCUUUUGGGAGUUGUGGACAGUGUCUAGAGUAUACAUUUUCUCACCUUGUGACAGGGAGGAAUAGGAGUAGAUUGUUAUAGAGAGACGCUAAAAACAAAGCCCCUAAAAUAGCAGUUUUAUAGUCUUGUGGUCUUGACAGUGGUCUGUUUCACCCUUAGAAUGAAUGCCUAGAAGCCAUUACAGUUAAUGGGGCAAGCUGUGAAGCUAGAAGCAAACAGAGUUCUGAACACAACUUUUCCGCUCGUGUUUCUGAAUAUGAGAUGAAGUUUCUGGUAUCUACUAAUGUUAUUGAUCAAACCAUGAUGCUUUUAUGUCUCCAAGUACAUUUAUGCUUAAAAGUUUUUUCUUUUAAAGACAGGGUCUCACUCUGUUUCCCAGUAUGGAGUACAGUGGCACAAUCAUAACUCAUUGCAGCCUUGAACUCCUGGGUUCAAGCAUUCCUCUCACCUCAGCUUCCUAAGUUGCAGAGAUGACAGGCACUUGCUACCAUGCCCAGUUAAUUUUAAGUUUUAUAGGGACAGGGUCUCUCAGUGUUCCCCAGCCUGGUCAUUAACACUCUGCCUCAAGUCAUCCUCCCAACUCAGCCUUCCAGAGUUCCAGGAUUAUAGGCAUGAGCCACUGUUCCCAACCUAAAUCUACCACUUAAAAAAAUAAAUCAGUUUGUCUUCAUCUUGAAAAAAAAAAAAGGAAGUGGUAGAAUGGUGUGGUGAGGAAGGACAUGGUAUCCAGAAGGCCCUGGUUUUGGUGUUAGCACAGGACAAGUCAUCUAACUCCACCCUGAGAUAAAUUUCUUCACAGGAAACAAAGAUGUUAGACUAAACUAUGUUGGGCCAAACCUAAAGCUCCCUCCAAUUCUUAAAAUAAUUCCAUGACUCCGAAUUUAAAACCAGUAAGUUCUUGUAUAAAUCAUAUUUCUUGCCAAAAUGCCAAGCACCAUAUGGGCUCUCUUGCUCUCUGUAAUCUGGACUCAGUGAUGCCAUAAAUCAAAUUAUGUCUCCUAAGACACAGCUGACAAAUUUAGACUAGAGUGUGGGAGUUUGUCCUGUUCUCUGACAAGAGCCACAAGGAGGGGUCAAUCAUUUUCUUAUAGUUCAACAUAAGUCCCAACAAGCCCGGGACCCCUUUGUUUUAAAGGUCACAUGACCUUGACACUUUUUCAGGUAAGACUGGCAUUGUGACCUUAUAUUUCUAGAGAAAUGCCUCAAGGCCUGGAAUUAAGAACAUCCAUCCAGUCUACUUUAUAAAGCUUUCCUAAGUCUGAUACCACUGAAGUAAAAAGUGCAAAGCUUACACUGAACAAUAACAAUUACAUUGGAAGUACAUAAACAAUGACAAUAAAAGGGAUCGUGGAAAUGGAUCUUUUCUAGACAAAUGUCUAAGGACGGGUGAUUGCCAAAGCCCAGGAUCAUGGUUCUGAAUGGCACACAUGCAAUUUUAAAAUACCUCUUCACUCAUAUUUCUCAUAACCAUCAAUGCAAGACUCUUGAUCUUUUGAUAAGAGCUAGAUAUCAUUUCAUUUUUUUCACUGUUUCACAGACAUUUUGAAAUCCUGUAACAAAAGUUGAUAUGAAAUGAAUGUAUGAGAUUUAUCUAAAAUGCAACUGUAUUUGGCAAAAACACUGCCUAUGGAAAUCCCCUUUGUGUAAGAUCAGACGUAGAUAUUGAUGAGGCAAUAUGCAGUCAGCACAAUAAAUGAUCACGAGUGACUACUUCAGCUUCGGUAUUAAUGUCGUCCUCAUGUCUCUCUUCUAGCUAUUUGCAUCCCUUUUGAACAUAGCUCAUUUCUAUGGAACACACACUCUUUUGGUUGAAUGUGCUACUUCUCUCACAGACAAAUUAAAUAAAAAUUUUAACAGUUAAAACCGAUAGAGGACUAACUCUGCAUUUCUCCAUUGUGCUUACAAUAAUCCGUGUUGAUUUUGUUUAGUUUGUCACUGAAGAGUGGUUCCAAUUUCUGAAAUAUAAUACAUAAAACAAAAAAUAAUUCUAUCACAUUGUAUUUAAUUAUAGUGACAAGCUGAUAGGAUGGCAUGAUAUUAGUAAAAGAACAGAGGUUUAAGUCAGAAAAUCUGGGUUUUCAUCCUGGUUUCACCACUUCAGAGUGUGUGUCCGAGACUCACUCAGCUCAUCUGUAAAAUGAGAGAGAGAAUACUCACCACAUUGGACCAUUAUAAGGAUUAAAUUAAGUAAUUUAGAUCAAUGGAAGAGCACUGUGCAAAUGCUAGCUGCGAUUCUGUAAUCCAGUCAAUGCCACCUCCUACUGUCUGUGGAAGGAGGUGGAAUGACUGAACGGAAGAUGAUCAAUGAUUAAAGGAGAGAUGUGGGG
Callithrix jacchus (white-tufted-ear marmoset) is the source of this 2565-nucleotide long non-coding RNA. NCBI's taxonomy places the organism in Eukaryota, Metazoa, Chordata, Mammalia, Primates, Cebidae. The record is from Ensembl.